AACGAACGCUGGCGGCAUGCCUAACACAUGCAAGUCGAACGAGACCUUCGGGUCUAGUGGCGCACGGGUGCGUAACGCGUGGGAAUCUGCCCCUUGGUUCGGAAUAAACAGCGAGAAAUUGCUGCUAAUACCGGAUAAUGACGUAAGUCCAAAGAUUUAUCGCCAAGGGAUGAGCCCGCGUAGGAUUAGCUAGUUGGUGUGGUAAAGGCGCACCAAGGCGACGAUCCUUAGCUGGUCUGAGAGGAUGAUCAGCCACACUGGGACUGAGACACGGCCCAGACUCCUACGGGAGGCAGCAGUGGGGAAUAUUGGACAAUGGGCGAAAGCCUGAU
This 332-nucleotide ribosomal RNA is filed under the name uncultured bacterium. RNAcentral describes it as "bacterial SSU rRNA". It matches the Rfam family "Bacterial small subunit ribosomal RNA", at positions 29 to 387 of the family's 1533-position model. The record is from RNAcentral.